This 3684-nucleotide long non-coding RNA is filed under the name Olea europaea subsp. europaea. The record is from RNAcentral. Lineage: Eukaryota; Viridiplantae; Streptophyta; Magnoliopsida; Lamiales; Oleaceae.
UGAAAUUCAUGAAAACGUAUUCUGGCCAGAUUUACCUUAUGUAACUGAUGAACAUGGAAGUAAGAUAAUAAUCUUUUGUUUAUAAUUCUCAUGUUUAUUACGGGUAGCAAUUGUUUGGUUAAGCAGCAUUGUCGUUAAUACUUUUAUUUACUUAUUGUCAGAUAUAUACUUUCAAGUGAAGAAUGAUGAAGAUAUUUUGCAAACCUUAUCCACCGAGGAAAACAUUGUGGUAAGAUUUGUUCUAUAAAAUUGAUUCCGUUUAAUUAAUAAGUUAUUAUUUUGGGACACUAAAACUGUUUUUCUCCUAUGAAGUGUAAUACUCCUAUUGCUCGUCGUCUGUUAUGUUUUCUCCUAUAUAGGUCUAAUUAUUCCUAAAUUCUUUAAUGUUUUCUCUUUCUGGUGUUUAAUAUGUUAAAAAUUUCUGAUAUGGCAAACAUAAUGGUAUACAUCAUCUGUCUGCAGCUUGAAAAAAGUAAAAUUUUUUUAUCUUUUCUUCACUACAUGCAUUAUCCAACUUUAAAUGAUUGUUUUGAAGCCAUACUUGAUUUUAAAAAAUGCAGCAAGUUAUUAUUGGACUGGAUACUGCAGAGAUGAUUAGUGAGGUUGAGUUGCUAGGUCAUUCAGAAAUUGAUUUUGGCAUUGAUGAGUUAGAUGAUGAAGAUAGUGAUUUCCAUGAUGAAGAGGACGAUGACACUGAAAACGAUAACUAUGGAAAGGUGGUAACUUUUCCUUCAAUUCCCCCUUCAAGUUUCAGAUUGUAGUUUUCUGCAGUAUGUGGACAUUGAUAUUGUUCAUCUGCAGGACUGGGUUGGUGUUCUUGAUGAUGAAGAAGAAGAUCUGGAUGAGGACUCUGAUGGAUCCAUAGGGGACUGGGCUAAAUUGGAGACCAUGCGGUCUUCUCAUCCAAUGCAUUUUGCCAAAAAGCUAGUUGAGGUGACUCUCCUAAUCAAAUUUGCUACAUAGUGUAGUAUUAGAAAAGUAGAUCGAAAAAAGUGGAACAUGGAAUACCAUUCUACUAAAUUGACUUUCCGACUAAAAUUACUAUAAUAUUUUUGCCUUUAUUUUGUCAUCGUCAUAUUCCCUUCUCUAAUUUAAAAUGAAUCAAGUUAAUACACCAUCAUAUAUCCAUUUUUGUGAAUCUAUUUUUGUUACAGGUUGUGUCUGAUAAUCCAGAUGAAUAUAUGGAGCAGCCUUCUGCUGGUCUUGCCAUACAAGGCCUCCUAAGACCUGCAUUUAUUGAAGAACACUCUGUCAUCCAGAACCAUAAAUCUAGUGGUGCUGAUACUAAUUACAUUUCUGAAGAACAAAUUCAAGAAGCCAUUUUUCAGAUCAAUGGUCACAAACCCGAAAAUGAAACUAUGCAAGGUAGCCCAAAUUUGGCAGGGGAAUUGGAGAAGGAUGAAAUGCUGGGAAAUGGAACUUUAUUUUACAAGCUAGAGAUGAUUAAAAUUCAGUUAGUUUCAUCACAUGGACAUCCGGUACUUUUGAUUUUUCUUUGAGAAUCUCAAGAUUGCAUGGUGCUCUCAUUUCUUCUGACCUUUACUUCUUCAUAUUUAAACUUUUUUGGUUCUCAUACUUGAGAAAGCUGCUGAAUCUACUCUAUUUUCUGCCUCUUUUGUAACUCUGCAUGUUCACAACUAUGUUUUGAUAGCAAUCCUAAAGUUGGCAGAAGUCAUCCAUGCCAUUUAGUGAAAUUUCUUUCAGCAUAUAUAUGUUCCAUGUACACAAUAUAGUUAUCUGUGGCGUGUUUAUUUCAUCUAAUAUUAGAAUGGAGAUGAAAAGUUUUGCUUGAUUCCUCUUCUUUUUCUUAAAAUACUCUGCUUUCAUGUCCUUGCAAUUGUUUACUAUCAGAAAUGAUACGUAGGGACCUGAAAAGGAGUUGUAGAGGAUAGAUGAGGAAAAGAAGAUGAAGGAAAUUAUGCUAUCAAUUUUCCCAUUACCCCAUGUUGAAUGAAAAACGUUUAUUUCUCUUUCUGAAAGCAGUGGGCUUUAAAUGGCAAACAACGAUUGGGAUGAGAAUAUCCCCCAAAUAGUAGGGGGCAGCCUUCCGUUUGAUACUAAUAGAUAUAUCUUUUGUACUCAAGGUCCAUCUCAAAUAUCGUAAAUAUCAACACCUCAAAUGAUGAACCUUCUUAUCAUUAGGGCAUGUUCUUAACUUGAACCAACUGUUUGACUUGAGAAAUAACUUGACUCUGUGUUUGCAAGUAUGCUGCUGCAAUGACUUGGCUGUACAAAUUUGACAUCCCAGACUUUGUGUCAGAUGUAUUUGAACAAAUAUAGAUUGUAAUGUACUUGACAGUUGCCUUUCUAUGCUACGUAUACUGAUGCGAUUAAAUUUCAAAUAGUAUUACGCAUUGAAUGCACCACUUUGAGGUGGUCUAUCCUUUUGCUAUUAGGAUGGGAAAGCAUAAAUUACUUUUUUUGUUCUGUUUGUGCUUUCUACAGAAUUUUGUUGAUAUAGAAGAUUUUAUGAAAGCUCAACCUGAUGCAAUAGUACAUUCAGCUGCAAAAAUUAUAUCUCGUGUCAAAUCUGGUGGAGAAAAGACUACACAAGCUCUCAAAUCUCUGUGCUGGAGAUGCAAGGGUAUUCAAGUGGAGGUGACACAAUGGAGUUAUAUUAAUCUGUAAUUGUAUCAUGCCUGUUAACUUGAAGUAAACUUUGCAUUGUUUGUAACUUGGAAAAUUGACAUGAAAAUAAGAUUAUAAUUUCACCCAUUCUUUGGUGACAUUUACAGCAUGAAGAAAGUGAGAGGAAUCAAUAUCUACUUCUCCUCACCCAUCUCUUCAUGAACAAGGCCUUUUAAACUUAUUCCCUCCUGGAAACUUAGUACUUACUUUUGCGAGAUUAAUUUGUUAAGAAUUUAAAUUGUGUAUGAAAAGUUACGUUCAUAAUAUUGGACCCUCAUCCAGUUGACGUUCUAUAUACUCUCUUGCAAUAUAUUGUCUUGGAAUACAAGAGAAGGCCAUCUAACAUAUUAAGAGAGAGUCAGAAAAGUUAUUUUUCUGCAAGCAAGUUCUUUUGCUAAUUUUAUAUAUUGAAUUUGUGACAGGAGGUGGCUCUUAUAGGUGUAGACAGCCUUGGUUUUGACUUAAGAAUUUGCUGUGGAACACAAGUACAAACAUUGCGUUUUGCAUUUAAGAAGAGGGUAUAUACUUUUUGUUCUUUACUUUUAUAUUCCAUCAAUUUCAUAUGCUCGUACUCAUCUUGGACCCAUGUGUUUGCAAUGAAAGAACAAUCUCUCUUAUCGUGAUGCAUGGCCUGGACUAUAUACAAAAUAGUGAAAAUUACCUUUUUAUAUAUCUCUCUCCUCUCCCUCUUUAACAAGUUGAUUUCCAGGCCUCUUCGGAGUAUAGCGCUGAAAGACAGUUGAAUGAUCUACUGUUUCCAAGAGUCCACAAGUUUCAACAAAAGAAAGAAUCUCAACAGACUGAAUCAUAACAUAUAGGUAUUCAAGUUCAUUUCUGUUUGUUCACCUCGUGUGCAUGUUUUAAAAGUUGUAUGCGAACAGCACAAGGGGAAUUCUUUUCUUGUUACCAGUUUCCUUGUAUCUUAACUGCUAGGUGAUUACUUUUAUUCUCUCUAUUUUAUCCCGGCCUCAACUGUAUAAGCUGAAUUUUGGUUUUGAUUGUGCUAUUCUAAAGGCAUCCACUGUUUACGCUGCUUAUGUACUUCUUGAGACUGAU